RNAcentral lists this transfer RNA (72 nucleotides) under Solirubrobacterales bacterium. Its description in RNAcentral is "tRNA-Arg". It matches the Rfam family "tRNA". From Rfam's summary of the family: Transfer RNA (tRNA) molecules are approximately 80 nucleotides in length. Their secondary structure includes four short double-helical elements and three loops (D, anti-codon, and T loops). Further hydrogen bonds mediate the characteristic L-shaped molecular structure. tRNAs have two regions of fundamental functional importance: the anti-codon, which is responsible for specific mRNA codon recognition, and the 3' end, to which the tRNAs corresponding amino acid is attached (by aminoacyl-tRNA synthetases). tRNAs cope with the degeneracy of the genetic code in two manners: having more than one tRNA (with a specific anti-codon) for a particular amino acid; and 'wobble' base-pairing, i.e. permitting non-standard base-pairing at the 3rd anti-codon position. Lineage: Bacteria; Bacillati; Actinomycetota; Thermoleophilia; Solirubrobacterales. The record is from RNAcentral.
GCCCCGUAGCUCAACGGACAGAGCGCCUGGCUUCGAACCUGGGCGUCAGAGGUUCGACUCCUCUCGGGGGCC